CCAAACUUGGUCAUUUAGAGGAAGUAAAAGUCGUAACAAGGUUUCCGUAGGUGAACCUGCGGAAGGAUCAUCACUGAUUCGGGGUGCAGGCGUGGGAAACUGCGCUGCGCACCCCAACCAAUCUUGUGUGAACUGUAACGCGCGAGCACUGCGUGUGGUGGAUAAUUGGUUGGCGGUACGGAGGGGGGAGACCCGCCGCCGCCGCCGCCAGCCACCGCCAUGCGAGCACACAAUUAUCUCUAUCAAUCUUGUCUAACAUAUUACAUUAAAUUGACACAACUUUUAACAAUGGAUCUCUUGGCUCUCGCAUCGAUGAAGAACGCAGC
This 326-nucleotide unclassified non-coding RNA is filed under the name uncultured fungus. Its description in RNAcentral is "partial contains small subunit ribosomal RNA, internal transcribed spacer 1, and 5.8S ribosomal RNA". The stretch from base 1 to 73 matches the Rfam family "Eukaryotic small subunit ribosomal RNA", at positions 1759 to 1831 of the family's 1831-position model. Lineage: Eukaryota; Fungi. The record is from RNAcentral.